AUAUCAAUAAGCGGAGGAAAAGAAACCAACAGGGAUUGCCUUAGUAACGGCGAGUGAAGCGGCAAAAGCUCAAAUUUGAAAUCUGGCGCCUUCGGUGUCCGAGUUGUAAUUUGAAGAAGGUAACUUUGGAGUUGGCUCUUGUCUAUGUUCCUUGGAACAGGACGUCACAGAGGGUGAGAAUCCCGUGCGAUGAGAUGCCCAACUCCAUGUAAAGUGCUUUCGAAGAGUCGAGUUGUUUGGGAAUGCAGCUCUAAGUGGGUGGUAAAUUCCAUCUAAAGCUAAAUAUUGGCGAGAGACCGAUAGCGAACAAGUACAGUGAUGGAAAGAUGAAAAGAACUUUGAAAAGAGAGUGAAAAAGUACGUGAAAUUGUUGAAAGGGAAGGGCUUGAGAUCAGACUUGGUAUUUUGCGAUCCCUUCCUUCUUGGUUGGGUUCCUCGCAGCUUACUGGGCCAGCAUCGGUUUGGAUGGUAGGAUAAUGAUUAAGGAAUGUGGCUCUACUUCGGUGGAGUGUUAUAGCCUUGGUUGAUACUGCCUGUCUAGACCGAGGACUGCGUCUUUUGACUAGGAUGCUGGCAUAAUGAUCUUAAGCCACCCGUCUUGAAACACGGACCAAGGAGUCUAACGUCUAUGCGAGUGUUUGGGUGUAAAACCCGUACGCGUAAUGAAAGUGAACGUAGGUGAGAGCUCUUAAGAGUGCAUCAUCGACCGAUCCUGAUGUCUUCGGAUGGAUUUGAGUAAGAGCAUAGCUGUUGGGACCCGAAAGAUGGUGAACUAUGCCUGAAUAGGGUGAAGCCAGAGGAAACUCUGGUGGAGGCUCGUAGCGGUUCUGACGUGCAAAUCGAUCGUCGAAUUUGGGUAUAGGGGCGAAAGACUAAUCGAACCAUCUAGUAGCUGGUUCCUG
This 902-nucleotide ribosomal RNA is filed under the name Debaryomyces psychrophilus. Its description in RNAcentral is "LSU rRNA". It matches the Rfam family "Eukaryotic large subunit ribosomal RNA", at positions 40 to 960 of the family's 3401-position model. Lineage: Eukaryota; Fungi; Ascomycota; Pichiomycetes; Serinales; Debaryomycetaceae. The record is from RNAcentral.